UCCUCCGCCCACGCAGCCUCUGCUCCAGGCGCCCCCUCCCUCCCACUGGCCCCCCUGGGGCGGUGCUGAGUCCUGGGAUCUGCUGGGCUACGCCCGUCGGUGGAAACAAGCGGAGUAGGGCGUGAAUGAAGGGGGCGGCAACUUGCUGGGUGAUGGGCUCCUGGGUCUGCGUCCAGGAAAGAAGAGGAGGGAGGAGCAAUUUUGAGGGCUCCGGUCCGCGUCCUGCGGCGGAUGGCUUGGCGGGAGAGGAAGGAGAGGAGUAAAAUCCCGCGGAAGGGGCUUGUCCACUCUUUGAAACGCAGUCAGAAAGGGUCCGGGUGCGAACCUCUGUGUGGGAGAGUGAAACUACCGGGUAUUUGUAUCUCAACAUUGUCAUAAGGUUCAAAUAGAAACUAUGUGACAAACUCUGCAAAUUGUAGAAUGCAAAGCAAAUUUAAGACGCUAUUGUCUUAAAUAAAUAAGCUCAGUGCCCUGAGUUUAUGUAUUUAUGUUUCUUUAUAUCUACUUGUAUAUCUGUGUCUCUGUCUAUCUAGGUUUGUAUUGGGGCCCAUCUAUGUGUGGAUUUAAAAAUAUAUACAUUUUAAAAAUCAUUGACUUGUCAGGCCCCGCCAGAGGCCCAGAGCGCCCCCGCAGCCCGCGCCGGAGCUGCUGAGAUGUCUGUUCUUCGCUUCCCUCCCACUCCUACCACCCCCACUCCCCUCCUACUCCCUUCCGUUGAGAACAAGGAAUUUCCAGCCUUUAGCAAAGGGAGAGAGAGGUAGGAGAGACUAAGACCAGGAGAAACUAUAAGAAAAACAUAAAGAUAAGAGGGUGUGUGUGUAUGUGUGUGUGUUGGGGGAGAGACAAAAAGGGAAUGAGAAAAAAACAACAAAAAUUUUCAUUGCUUUUUCUGCAUGGGCCCCAUUCUCCUUAGUGUCCCACUUGUUCAUUUAGGACCACAUCGGUAUCUGCUCCCCCCCCCCAUCAGUGUUCUCAAAUGCACACAGCAGAUCAACUGAUCUCAUUUAAUCAAAGUUUAAUAUUCUUUUUAUUGUCUACACUGGUCUCUUCCAGGAAAGGAGACAGCAUCCUUGGACCUAGUUCUCCAGGAAAAGGGGGAAAAGAUUGUGAAGAAAAGGGAGAAAGUGGGUGGAAGAGGAGUGAGGAUACUGCAAACCAGUCAUUGCGAACCAGAAGGAUUGUUGUUCCCAGGCACGUGUAGAUUUUCAUCUAGCAGAUUGCACCGCUCACUCCUCCUCCCCACUUUGUCACAGUGCCAAAUGCUUGAAGACUCACUCACUAUGGCUCAAACUCACCUUCCUGGACCCUCUCCUUCCUGGACCACCUCCAUGCCUCCAGGCAAAAUUAAUUCCUCCCACCUCUCCAAGGAGGUCUUUAUACACUAUUUCAAUAUAGUUGUAUUACCCUCAGCUCAGGACCUCUUUAGAGGCCUGAUACCUGGUUUGCCCUCUAAAAUGAAUGAAUUGAUGAUGCUAUUUACAGGCCUGAGCAACUAAGAAGAGGACAAUUAACACAAAAUUCAGAGCAAAAGGGGCUGAGCCUGGACAAAAUUGUUUUUAAGUGAAGACAUUUGUUUUUAUGUCUCUACUCCUCUUAGUUUCCAGUGAGUCCCGCAAGUCUGGCUCAUUGGCAUUCUUAAAUGUCCACUACUCUGGUAAAUUAAUUCACACCCUGGUACUAUACAUAGAAAGCUGAAAUCCUUGCUGGUAAUAGAAAAAAAUGAAUAUAGGGCUGGGGUUGUAGCUCAGUGGUAAAAGCUUUUGCCUUGUAUGCGUGAGGCCCUGGGUUUGGAU
Molecule: long non-coding RNA, 1793 nt
Filed under: Marmota monax (woodchuck)
Lineage: Eukaryota; Metazoa; Chordata; Mammalia; Rodentia; Sciuridae
Source: RNAcentral